RNAcentral lists this ribosomal RNA (162 nucleotides) under uncultured bacterium. RNAcentral's name for it is "partial 16S rRNA". It matches the Rfam family "Bacterial small subunit ribosomal RNA", at positions 355 to 507 of the family's 1533-position model. The record is from RNAcentral.
UGGGGAAUAUUGGACAAUGGGCGAAAGCCUGAUCCAGCCAUGCCGCGUGUGUGAAGAAGGCCUUUUGGUUGUAAAGCACUUUAAGCGAGGAGGAGGAGCUUCAGGUUAAUACCCUGGAUGCUUGGACCGUUACUCGCAGAAUAAGCACCGGCUAACUCUGUG